Molecule: long non-coding RNA, 11802 nt
Organism: Passer domesticus (house sparrow)
Lineage: Eukaryota; Metazoa; Chordata; Aves; Passeriformes; Passeridae
Exons: 3
Source: RefSeq, a predicted model, not a curated record
AGCGGGCACCGCGCGUCCGCCCUCACACGGCCCAGCCCUCCAGCCUCCCAAAACCCGCGCUGAAUCCUCGCCUGUGGGAACGGCACAGCCGCUGGGCAAGUGCUUAGUGUGUGCGGAAAAAAAAUAUAUGGGGUUAUGCUCCCCUGGAAGCUUGUCCUCGUUUGUUUUCCAUAGCUUGCUGGAGACACUGAGGUGUCGACAAAUAGGAUGGCUUGUAAAUCAGAACCUGCAGGAAGCUUCUCUGCUGUUUACGCUGUGUCAUAAGACAAAUGGCACUGCUGUUAACUGGAAAAUCUGGUCUAGCAUACAUGAUGUGCAUUUAGAGUGACAGUUCUGUACCUUGAUCUACACUUAAUGGUACUCUGGAGCAUCUGGUAGAACAAGUCUUCCUUAGGACAUAUGAAGAAGAAACUACAUGCUCUGAUGCCGGACAAACUCCUGCAUGCUUUACCAUGGGCACCUGAUGAGGGAAGUGCUUUCCUGCAGCUCCUGUUUCACAGCUGAUAAAUUCUGCUUGAUGCAGGUGGUAAUGAGUUGUAUAUUUUUAAGUUUUAUCAGCAUUCUCAUCUGUUGGAAUUUCAUGUUCAGAUCUGUGGGAACUGUUUGUAAGUUGGUUUAGGGUUUCUUAGUGCUUCCUAGUUGAUUUUUAAAAAUAGCUAUAAUGUUAAACUAGAUAACCUGAUUAAUCUGUCAGAAUUUGAAAUGUGUUCUAAAAGUUAUAAGACAUUUCUGUUGCCAUUUGUUCCUUUAAAUGUUCUGCAAUUAAUGAUAGAUGGCUUUAUUUUAAUGUGCCAAGAAAUACCAAUGCAGAAAUAGCUACUGGAAUUUGAUUGCUCAGUCACCCACAAAUUUAUCAAAUAGGCUAAAGCAGUCGAGUUUGAUCCCAAAUACCCUAAGUAUUCAUGUAUGAGGGUAUUCAUAUAUGAUGGGAUUGAUUAUGGUAAUGUUUAGCAGAUUUUGAUAGUCCAUCUUCACAUGUUUUUUAGAAGGAAAUACAUAUUGUCCAUACUAUAUUAGGGUAUUACAGGGUAAUUGUAAAUACUUUUAAUAUUUUUCAUGCAAAUUCUUUGGCUCCAAGAUUACAAAUAACAGAGACCAAGUUAAGGCUCGUUAUGUUUUUUAAAAGUCUAACAGAUAAAAGCAAAGCAUGGGAACAAACUGAAGUAGUUAUCACAGUUAUUUAAAACCCCAGAGCAGAACUGUUGCCUGAGAUUAGGUCUCAUACCAGAACAGCCAAACAGAGGAAGCUGUAUCUUCUGCUGCAGUUGCAGAGAGGUCACUCGUGUGCCUGGGAUAAAGGUCCUGUCCUCUCCAGGACACCCUGGAGAGCUGUCCUGUGAGCCCUCAGUAGCUCUGGGAUGUUCUGAACACAGUGUGUUGAUUGCGUGAGCUCAGAUUGAGCCUGGAGAGCUCAGGCCUCAGUUCUGCUGUGUGAGGGCUGUGCUGGAUUGAUGUGUGUCCUGUGCAGCUCACCGGCUUGUGCUCCACGUGUCUGAUGCACCUCGUGACUAACAGCUUAUUAUCAGUAAUAGCUGAUUUUAAAAAGUUAUUUGGAAAUUGAGGCAAUUUGUAAAACCCUUCAGCCUUGCCCUUACAUUCUUUCACAGUAUGCAGGAUUCAGGGAACAAACCAUUCCAAAAUAUUUUUGAACAGCUGCAAGAAGAAUUUAACUUUGUUACUGAAAAAGAUAUUAAAAAGUGUAAAUGCUUCCAGCUGUUGCAGUGGUAAAACUUCUGUUUAUAGGGAGAUAAAACAUACCGUAUUUCAGGAAUUUGGUGUUUCAGAUACAGUUUUUGUUUUAAACUUGUACCUGAUAAGUUGUGUUACAUUUAAUCUCUGAUUUUUUUAUAUUUUGUGAAUCAAUCUUUCCUGUUCUUUUAUAUGUUUAUGUAGCAGAGAAUUUUGUUCAUUAUCAAUCUAAAUGCCAAGUUAGAUCUAUCUAUACUUUCAACACAUUUGGAUUUACUGUAAUUAGAAGCAUAUUAGAUAUAUUAGCUAACAGUACAAAUUAAAAAUCCAGUAAGAAUUUUAUUAUAGCUUGCAAAAUUUUACUUACAGGUGUUAGAUACAUAUUGAGAUGCUAUGGUCCUCUGAACAAAAUUCACAAUUUUUCUCUCAAAUGUUUGCAAAGUGAAGCUCUGGGUAAAAACUUUUAAAUGUAGUUAAAACCCAACAUUUUAAUUUGAUACUUCAUCUAGCAUGCUGAUUUUUGUAGACUGCAGUCCUUCACAUUCUUGAUUGAAGGGAUUGUAUAUUCUAUGAAACUUUGUGAACCCUCACACUGAGCUGCCACAAUUUAUCAUGAGAUGGAGCUCUGAGGCAGAGCAAGAGUCAGCAAAGGCAGUGGCACUACAGCACUAUGGGCAUUAUCCCUUUCUAAUGUUUCUAGUUUGGGAAAAAUUCUGCCUUCUCUAAAGUGUGAACUCUUCAGCUACAUUUAGAAAUUUCCAAAAGAACCUGACAUCCUGUGAAAUACUUGUGCAGUUGAAACGCUGGAAAUUUUUUUUCAAAAAGCCGACUGGUAUGAACUUCUGUCUUUUCCUUCAUUCAAAGUCUUAUAGCUCCUCCUCCAAUUAGUGGUUUCAAAAAUUGGAUAUCACGAGGAAAUAUCUAUCACACCCUUACAAGAGUUGUCCUAAUACUUAGAUAUCACAAUGCUUUAUUUCUGUCAUGUACUCCAGUUUAAAUUUAUCACGAAUCAGCUUCCUGGACUCUUCUGUGGUGUGCCCAUAUCUGCUAGUUCAGGAUCCCAUACGAGAUAUGUUCUUCUUGUGCAGAGCUGAUAGGCUGUUGGUGGCAUUCUGUGUUUAAAUAAAAUUGACUUUCUUCACUCUGUCUCUAGAAUGCAAGUUUUCUUGUCAAUGUUUCUUGCAACUCUUUCUGAGGCUUUCCCAUUCAUUGAACUAAUAAAUUAGGGAUUUUUUUUUUGUUAUAAAUAUUUUCAUAAUGCUCAGUCUUUAUAGUAGGAUUAGCUAUGAAAUUAAGGGGUUUUUAACUGGUUUCAUGCAAAGGAUGGGUAUAUUCUGGGAGUUACUGGUUUUUGAGGUCCAUUUUUAUAGAGAUUUUUUUAUAGUUUCCUGCCAAUGUUUAUGCUUUUUUUGAUAGUUGCAGAUGAGGCCAGAAAAAACAGGGUGUGUUCCCAUACAGAGAACAUAAAUGGAAAUAAAAACUGUGAUUGUUACAAACAACUGACACAUAGACUGAUAGUUUGAGGUAUCUACUACCUCAUUUCUCAAACCCUUUGUAACAUGGCGACCUUGAAAAAGAUCCCUUCCUGACUAAUUAGGCAGUUGUUAUAUUUAUAGGUAUUAUAAAAUUAUUUUAUACUUUUCUUGUAAACAGAUGUGUCCACAUGGGUGCUGUCAGUAGCAGCCAUACAGGGCAGGGCUGUUCAUCACAUGCUUAUUUGAAUAGGUGUAAAUUUAAAAAUUCUAGUAAUUCCAAAGAAAUUUAUAGUUGCAUGAGCAGAUGGCAGAAACAGCUGAGUUACCUAUUCAUUUAUAGAACAUCUUAUGAGUAAGAUGUUCUGCCAGGUAAAAAGGGAGUUGGAAGGCAUCAGUAGGUGGCAGAAAAAUACUGGUAUUGUACCUUUAGCUGUGUAACCAGAAGCUGACAUCUCUGCCUUUAUAAUAUUUUAAAGUUUUAAUUUUUCUCUGUGCUGAGCUCCAGAUCCCUUUACAAGACUUCUGUUUCCAUGUUUUCAGUUAUGACAACCUAGUGCUGUAUUACUGUUCUUCAAAUAGUUCAAAUCUGUCAUCAGAGGGAACUUUCCAGAUGCUUUGAUGUGAAGCAGACAGCUUGUCUUUCCAUGAGCAGGGAAGUUUGAGGGGUGGUGAAAUGAGAAAGUGCUCACAGCUGAGAACCCUGGAACUGAUACUGAAAUUGCUCUAGGAUACUGCAACUAUAUAGUAUGUAUACUAUAUAUACUAUAUGGAAUAGUUACUUUGCUCUUCUGUGGUUUUUUUGUUGGUUUUUUGGUUUUUUUUUUUUUGCAAACUGAUAUUUUCAAUAUCAGUUUGAAAAGGUGAACACUGAGCUUAGGACUCUUGAGUCUUUGAUCUGCACAGCAUCAUAUUUUAUCCAGCAGUGCUUACUUCAAAGUACAAUAAUAUAUGAAAAUCAUGUCUGACUUCUGUGGGCUUUGGAAAUUAUAUGACUGCAUCAACUCUAUGCUCCAUCUUAAGCUAAAAAACUGGCUAGAUCCAAGCUAGCAUAUGAGGAACCAGUUCUGGUAUCUAUACCAGCAGCACUGUUGUUUCUUGUUCAAUCUGCCAACAAAUAGUUUUAGCUUUGUGUUCAGUUAUAUCAUCUUUGCUUUUGAUAGGAUGUGUUUCACAUUGGCCACUCAUAUGAGAAAGAACUGGCUUGGAUCAGUUAUCACACUGUUCUCAGCUCCUCUGGAGCAAUUAAAAGUCAUGCAAAAUGAAAUAUAAAAUAUUUCUGUGGUAUUUGCAAAACUCUGUAGGAGCUUUUGUUGUUACAAAAGUAAGGUGAUAAGGUUUUCAGAGUGAUGACAUUCUGCAGAGUCCAGUAGUACAUAUUCUAACAACAGCUCCAGUGUAUUAUCAUUUGUGAGAGCUCUUGGUGUCUCUGUGUGUCUUGGAGCUGAUAUGAAGACAGCUCCCUACUUUUGUUGCAUGACUCCAAAAAAGGCUUUUCUCAAAACCUUUUUAAGAAGCACUUCUUUGUCCGAUUUGUGACUACAGUGAAAGGUGCUGGCAUAUUUCCCUCAGGGUGAGGAGAGCAUGGAGGCCUCAAGGAGGAACUGAAAUUAAGUUUGUCUGAGCAACACAAGGAGUUCCAAGAAGAAUAGAAAGUUCAGUCACAAUAUUUGGAUUCUAGUCUAUUCAAGCUCCAGACUCUGUGUUCAGCCAUAGCUGAUGACUAUCUUGAGCAUAUACACAGUAGAGAGUUGGAAGAAAAAAUUGACUUAAGGGGUAUUUAGAAUAUGGCUAUGUGCAAUAAAAUGUUUGAAUAGGCUGUUUUAGAGUCCUUUUAUUGAAACAAGUUUUAAAUAACUUUUAACUUUUUCAACUUGAAUGGGGUCAUGAAAAGUGAAUAGCAGAAUACUAGAUGUCUUAACAUGGUAGAAUAGAACUAUGGAAUCAUGUAGGUUGGAGAAGACUGCCAAGUCCAUUUAAUUUUACAAGUUCCUUAGAUUGUCAGUGUUUUAAGUGCGUUAUUCCAAGGUAUGUAUUCUACUCUGAGACUAGAAGAGGGUUUCCCAUGAUAAUUUUCAGGACAUAGUCUCCUGGGAAAAGUCCACUACUGUUCUUCAUGUCAAGUGUUGGUGUCCUUUUACAGAACUUAGCAAGUAGAAUCCUUUGAGGAAGAUAUGAAUAAUUAAUUGUAGUGGAUUUCAUGUGACUAUACCACAGGUUUUACUUGGAUGCACCUUGAAAUAGACAUUUAUUUCCUAAUGCCUUGGAGCACAUAAUAUUUACCUACAUAAUUUUCCUCUGUAGUCAGGCUUUGAAGUUACAAAUCAAAGUAAUUUGUCUGUUCUAGUUCAUAGGAUACUAAAAGAAAUAGUUCUUCAAAGAACAUGUAUUUCUAAAAGAAAUGUAAAGCACAAUUUCCAAAUAGAAUAAAUAAUAACUUGUGGUUUGACAAAGGAGGAAAAAGAGUUUUACCAAUGAACUGUAUUAAAAGUGCUGAAUGUGCCACAAGAGCUAUUGAAUGUUGCUUUCAACUUAAAUAAGUUAUUUUAGCAUCCAGUAAAAAAAGCAGAAUUUGUGAAUUUCACAGAUUCACCAAACAUUCUGAAUUGGAAGGAACCCACAAGGAUCAUCAUGUCCCACUCAUUGACUGACAAUUUACUACUGUAAUUGACAACUUGCUAGUAGUGGCUCUGGAAGCUGAACCAGUAAAAUGUAAUUUUUAUCACAAUUCCUAAAGGUAUUUUUAAAGAAUAUGUGCUUUUGGGAAUGUCUGUUUUAGAACUAAGUCUUUAAUUCAAUAAAUGUUUGCACAUCUUUAUUUCUGUGCCCAGGAAAGCAUAUGGCACAUGGAGUGCUCAGCAGAGCUGAAUAUACACAUCUAAUAUACCACAAAAUUCUAUUGAAAAGUAACUGUGUCAAGUCUAGGAAAGUGCUCUGCUUUCUGCAUUUAAUCAGAUUCACUGAGUGGAAGGUGCAAGAAAUCCCAUCAUAGACCCUAUUGACUAAUUUGCAUUAAGAGAUAUUUCUUCCCCACAUCCAUUAGUAUUUGGCUUAAAUCCUGAAUGAUUUCAUUAGCUAUGUAAGGGCUUAAUCUCUUGAAAAUCCUGCUAAGCUCUUGCCCUCAUUGAAAGCUGUGAUAAUUUGUUCUAGUUAAUUUUCAUUUAAAUAUAUAGCCUUUCAGUUCUUUUUUUUUUUAAUAAUGGCAAGAUGAAUAAGAACACAAUUUUUUUCUUUAUUUUAUUAUUUUGCAUCCCUCUGCUGUUUGGUCUUACAAUCUUCUUUUAAACAAUGCCACUUUUUUCAAUCUGUCAAUGCAGUUACUGCAAUUAUGAGGUAAAACUAAAUACUUAUGGAAGUUGAUGUUUUUAAUCCUGUUUUUUCAACACAGAGUAAUAUUUCAGACAGCUGUGAUUUUUGCUGUAAUUAUUCUUUUGACAUAUGAAAGGCUUAGAUUUAUUCAGAGUUGUCCUGCAACUUUUUUUCCAAAGGAAAGAGAACAACUUGCAAAAGGUUGUAAAAGAAAGUGCUGCUUUAAAUCUGUUUUAUAUUACUGCAAAUAUGUAAGGAAGCUAAAUAGUGUUUUUACUUUUUUUGCUAAUGGAAAUACACGCAAUUUCUGUUAUUUUGUGUUGAUACAGGAGGGAAAAUUGCAUUUGUACAACUCUAGAAAAAUUCUUUUGGAAUCUCUUAAUGGGGCUGUAUUGCAGGGGGAUAUGUUAUGAGCAAUUUGAUACUUUUUCAUCCUCUCCAGAAUGCUGACUGCAUUGUGAAUAUGGAGAAUUUAAGAAUGUGGCGAUAGUAUUGUUUCCUGUUAAAAAAAACCCCAAGGCCUGUACUAACAUCAAAUGUAAACAGGAAUAUAUAAACAGGGAUGGCUUAUGGAAACAAACAAAACGGGCAGUUUUUUCCAGGAGAAAGUGGCAAUGGAAGUGCUUCCAAUCUAGUUUUGUGUUGUCACAGUCUGGUUAUUGAGGAAGUGGAAAUGUUCUUGAUGGUCUCUUGUAGGUGUAGUGCUGCAUGCUUGCUACCUUUUUACCAACUAGUUCUCUCAUGUCUUAGGAUACUUUACAAUUCCCAAAAGAGUCUUACAGCCACCUCUGUGUUGUGGGAGGAUCCCUUUAGAGCACAUGACCUAAAUCCAGGUAUAGAAGUCUGAAGGGGACUUUGCUACUAGUCAGAGAAUGCGUUGCCCAGUAGGGCCUUAUCCAGUUUCCCAUUUGCCAUUCAGCUGGUUUUGGAUGCGUGGCCACAUGCCUCUCCUUCAUCUGUCAGUGCAGAUAGUCUUCAAGGUGUUUCAUCUCUGCUAAAAGGGAAUGGAAUAUCCAAGUCCUUGGAGAUUGUCCUUAGUGCACCACAGCAAACAGGAGCUAAGAUAAGAUAUGAACACUGAGAUGGGAUGCAAGGUCAGGAGCAUAGAACUACUCUCCAAAAUACAGGCACAGGAAACUCAGGCUCUUUGCUAUUUCUGAAGAAUUUCUCCACCUUUGGAGAUCUGCAGCAGUGCUGUCUGGAGUGUCAUCCACCCUCCUGCAAAAUCUGCCCAUCCAAGCACACAGAAGCACUUAGCAAAGCCUUGCUGCUGUUUGUGUUCUUAAAAUAAGUAAAUAGAGAACUAAGUAACAUAGUUGAAAGUGGUUGGAGAGGGUAAAGUAGAACACCAUUUGGCAAAAUCUUUUAUGACACCAUGUUAACAACAGGCAGAUUGACAAUCUGUCCUCUUCUGCAUGGAGUCUCAUUAAUAAAUCUGUAGGUCAAACUGAAGGGAGGGCAAGUGUUAAAAUACCCAGUCUGGUGAGCUUGAGUAUUGAAACAUCCAUAGUGUAACUGUGCAUACAAUAAUUUUCAAUUACUUCUAUUCAAUUUUAUGUUUUAAAUGCUUUGCAUAUAUCCUUUGUUUUCUUCAAUAUGAUAAAGAUAUCUAGAUACCUGAAAGUGCAUAGAAAAAGGUGUUUAAGGAGAAAAUUAUUGUGUAUUUACAGAUUGUUUGGUUUGGGGUUUUUCUUUUCAAUGUUCAGUAGUAAAUGCUUUCCUUUGUCAGAAUGCAUGCCUUGUUUAUUGAAGUUAUAGCAAUUUCUUACAUUACAUUUAAUUUCAGGAAAGAGCAGUCUAAUGUAAGUUUCACAAUUGUACUUCUAAAAUAUCACUGAGAUAGAGACUAAAAAUAACAGUGUGUAUUUUGUUAUUGCUGCUUUACUUGGAGUUUUGAAAAACUGCUGUUGACAACCUUUUAAUACAGAAUGACCAACUGGGCACUUGCACUCACUCAGAUAAGGCCUUAUCUACUCACAAGACUUUUGUUCCUGUGAACAUUCAGAAUGCAGAGUUAAUAAAUUAUUGCAGGAAUAUGCUACAUUACUUUCUGGCUUAUAUAUAGAUUUAACCACAGUAUUACAGUUGGAAAAAGUUUUUAUUUCUGGUGAUGUGUCAGUCACUAAAAUGUUGACUUUAAAAUUCAUAUUUUAAACUAAAUUUGCAAUGCUGGAAGACCAUAAAUAUCCUCAUGUUUAAAGUAAAUAAUGAACCUGGGUCAUGGGAAGCAGAGAUAAGGCUUUUCUUGUUAUGUACAAACACAAAAAUAGUUUCAGACUUGCAAUUUCAAAUCUGAAGCUGAGACUUCUACUGAAAUGUUGAAAAGUAUUUGGCAGUCCCUGUAGUUGGUAGGAGACUCAGAAAUGUCAUGGCUAGUUCCUAUUUUUUAAUUACAGUGAAAAAAACCCCAAAAACUUGAGAUUUCAAGGCCACAGUCUAGACAGACUUGAGUUUUGCUGCCUUAAGAGUGAGGACAAACUUUCCAGAUCAAAGUACCCAUGUAAUAUGCAUGCUGCCAUUGUAUUGGAGCAUUGCCCUUGUUCCUUACAGGGAUGGAGUACAGCUUGCUCUCCCUCUGGCCCUAGGUCCCCCAAAAAGGUUUUCACUAUCAGUGAUACCUAAAUGGAUGGGUGAAAGCAAAGAGGCCUCACAAUUUCAUUUUUUUAACUACAGACAAAUUAAAUUUUAAGCAAGCUUAUUAAUUUCUGUGACUUAGGCCAUAAUCAUAGCCUUGCUGCAAAUAUGCAACGUGCAGUGUUAGAAAAAAACAGAACUUCUUCUAGUAAGCAGCAGUUAUCAGAAGUUCAAAACAAUCAAAAAUAUCUGUGCUAGGACACAUCAUGUGAUUCUACAGUGCCUGCAGCAUGACUGAGCCUUCACAGCUAUUGUAAAUAACACAAGUGCUUGUGGCUCUUGACAAGAGGCUAUUCCCAUGUCUCCUAAAUGAUUUCUAGCAUUAGAAAUCUGAGAUUGCCAGCAUUAAUGGUUGCUUUUUUGUAUGAGAACAAAAUGAAUUCCACCCGCUGGCUCUUGAACUACUCGCGUUCUUUUGUUCUUUAUUUCUUUGUUACAGCUGUGUACUAGACUCAUUGUUGAAGUGUACAAUAUUUAGCAUAUGCUGUGGCUGCAAUUAGUUUUAAAGCUCCUUCCUGCACGAUUUCCUUCCUACUUUUUUUUUUUUCAAUUGUGAAGUCUGAGUGCUCCUGAAGCUUAUGAUAUGUCACAGAAAACAAGGGGGGAGGAAGGGAAAGAAGUCCUUACAGCUUCAGCCAGCUACACAAGGAAAGACAGUUUACAUAUUUAAAAAAAAAAAAUACAAAGCAUAAUACACACUGGAGCCUUCUUACUCAAAACUAGUUUUAUUUUAAAAAAUAAGUUGAAUGCAUAGCACUCACAAAGAUUCCAUUGUUUUGGACAUUUUGCAUUUAGAAGCACCAUUCUUAUUUAUGCCAUAAAAACCACAUUUUGGUUCUAAUAGUAAGAACAGUGUAUUUUUAAUGUACACUGAUAAAGCCCUUUUAAAUAAUAUAGAUUGAAACUGUUCAGUGUACAUUUUCUCUGUAGUCAUGAUGCAGCUGUAGUGUCAGGAAAAAAACUCAGACUAAGUAAUAAAUUAAAAACAAACAGUAUGUAGUGGAUCUUUUUACAAUUGACCUAAUGUAUUAAAAUAGUCAAAUAAAAAACACCCUAUUAAAUGUAAAGCUGUGGUAUUAACUAACUGAAAAAGCCCCCCACCCAUUAUAAUUCCAGUGUUAAGUAUUAGUUAAAUUUUUAUAUAUCAAAUGCCUAUGGGAUAAAUUUACUAAUACCCCCAAAAAAGAAGAGCCUAUACUGCUGUGUCACAAAAAAAAGAUGACAAGUUAGCUGACUUGAAGAUUUUACAGAAAAAAAAUUGCUACAGGCAUCUGCUGUUAUUUCAAGUCAUGGUCUAUUACAAGACUGUACAUUCAUAGCAUCAGAGGUAGUUAGAGCACUGAGGACUUGGAUACAUUGCAACAAAAUGAAACCAGCAGAAAGAAGUCCAUUUCCCUCUAAAAUGGGUAACAGUGCUGAGUAAAAAACAUGGCAUCUUACGAGGUGGAAAGUCUCUACUUAACACUACUCUCAGACACAGGGAAAUAUUCAUUAAGAGAUGAAGAGAGGAGAGGGAAAAAAAAAACCAAACCAACUUUCAUUUUAAUAAGGAAUUGACCACACUAUGCCUAUUUUAAAGUUGAUUCUCUAGGAUAAAAGGGAGAGGAUCAUCUUUUCCAUUCAUCCUCCUAUUCUUCUUGACUUGCACAUCUAUGCUACAAAAGCCCACAACAAAAAUUGAUAUUUAAAAGACAAACCAAGAGAAACAGGAUUUCUUCUCCUCAACAAUAAAUAGUUUUUUGUAGCAUGUUACAAUUUAGUCCCAGAAAGAAUGAACACAGCUGUCCUCCCUCCAUUCUGAAUAUUAUGGUGAUAAAGCUUUCAUCUUCAUAUUGAUAUUGUAAUUUAAUUGCCCCUGCUUUCAAAACAAUUCACAGUAAUUCAGUGUCAUGUGAUGGUACACAAUUUUAAGUGCUGCCACUAAGACAGGGAAGAAGAUGGUAAAAAACCAAACAAAACUACCAGAAAAAGCCUUAAGCCCAUGUACUAUAAAGAUAUUUUAAAGUAGUAAGAAUCCUGUUAUUCAUGCCACUUCCUCCCAUAUUCUACCACAGGAGAAAGUCUGAUGUCUUCUUGUAUUUAAAGAAAAACAACAAAAAAAACCAAAACAAAACAAAACACCCCCCCAAAAAACCCCAACACACAAAGGACCCCAAAAACCAUCUCCAUUAGUAUCUCUACUAUAAUUUUCAUCCAAGAGGUGGAUGAGUGAAACUUUCUACCCUCAGACUAUCCACUCCACAGGAGAUAGUGUAAUUCCAUAAAGUUAUAUUAUUAGCACCUUACUUGUGAUGAAGCAGUUCAUUCUGCAAAAUAUUUUUGAUCCACCCACUUGGAAGAGCAAAUCUCUACAUCUUCUUCUGGAACUCCCAAAUAGUAGAAGAAAAAGUUGCCCCUUUAUUACCUGAGUAUUUCCCUCCACUGGUAAGAAUGACAGAACUGGAUUUCUGUCAGCAUUUAGGUGUACUUUUUCUGUAGGGACGAUACUGUCAGUACAACUGGAGGAUGCUUUCUGUUGGUUAAUAAUAUUCAUGUGUUUUUGUGUGUGUACACAGAGGAAUCACAGCCACUGUAGUAGUUCUGGUACAGUACAAGUUCAGUUGAAAGUUUCUCUUUUCUUCAAUUAUCACACUGCUGGGCAGUAGUUCACAUCUACAUUCUGUGAACACUAACAUGUCCCUUUGGUACUCUGCAUAGA